RNAcentral lists this ribosomal RNA (500 nucleotides) under uncultured bacterium. RNAcentral's name for it is "partial 16S ribosomal RNA". It matches the Rfam family "Bacterial small subunit ribosomal RNA", at positions 30 to 523 of the family's 1533-position model. The record is from RNAcentral.
AUUGAACGCUGGCGGAAUGCUUUACACAUGCAAGUCGAACGGCAGCACGGACUUCGGCCUGGUGGCGAGUGGCGAACGGGUGAGUAAUACAUCGGAACGUGCCCAGUCGUGGGGGAUAACGUAGCGAAAGCUACGCUAAUACCGCAUACGAUCUAAGGAUGAAAGCGGGGGAUCGCAACACCUCGCGCGAUUGGAGCGGCCGAUGGCAGAGUAGGUAGUUGGUGGGGUAAAGGCUCACCAAGCCAACGAUCUGUAGCUGGUCUGAGAGGACGACCAGCCACACUGGGACUGAGACACGGCCCAGACUCCUACGGGAGGCAGCAGUGGGGAAUUUUGGACUAUGGGCGCAAGCCUGAUCCAGCCAUUCCGCGUGCAGGAUGAAGGCCCUCGGGUUGUAAACUGCUUUUGUACGGAACGAAAAGGCUCUGGUUAAUACCCGGGGCUCAUGUCGGUACCGUAAGAAUAAGCACCGGCUAACUACGUGCCAGCCGCCGCCGUAA